GGACUACCAGGGUUUCUAAUCCUGUUUGCUCCCCACGCUUUCGCACCUCAGCGUCAGUAUCGGCCCAGGUCUCCGCCUUCGCCACUGGUGUUCCUCCCGAUAUCUACGAAUUUCACCUCUACACCGGGAAUUCCGAGACCCUCUUCCGUACUCAAGCUCGCCAGUUUCGAGUGCCCUUCCCAGGUUGAGCCUGGGGCUUUCACACCCGACUUAACGAACCGCCUACGUGCGCUUUACGCCCAAUGAUUCCGAGCAACGUUUGCACCCUCCGUAUUACCGCGGCUGCUGGCAC
Molecule: ribosomal RNA, 292 nt
Filed under: uncultured bacterium
Lineage: Bacteria
Description: partial 16S ribosomal RNA
Source: RNAcentral